GAUGAACGCUGGCGGCGUGCUUAACACAUGCAGGUCGAACGAAGCACUUUAUUUUAUUUCCUUCGGGACUGAUUAUUUUGUGACUGAGUGGCGUACGGGUGAGUAACGCGUGGGUAACGGGCCUUGUACAGGGGGAUAACAGUUGGAAACGGCUGCUAAUACCUCAUAAGCGCACGGCAUCGCAUGAUGCAGUUUGUAAAGAUCUGUUGUUAUAAGAUGGACCCGCGUUGGAUUAGCUAGUUGGUGAGGUAACGGCCUACCAAGGCGACGAUCCAUAGCUGGUCUGAGAGGAUGAUCAGCCACACUGGGACUGAGACACGGCCCAGACUCCUACGGGAGGCAGCAGUGGGGAAUAUUGGACAAUGGGCGAAAGCCUGAUCCAGCAAUGCCGCGUGAGUGAUGAAGGCCUUAGGGUUGUAAAGCUCUUUUACCCGGGAUGAUAAUGACAGUACCGGGAGAAUAAGCUCCGGCUAACUCCGUG
RNAcentral lists this ribosomal RNA (481 nucleotides) under uncultured bacterium. RNAcentral's name for it is "partial 16S ribosomal RNA". It matches the Rfam family "Bacterial small subunit ribosomal RNA", at positions 28 to 507 of the family's 1533-position model. The record is from RNAcentral.